AUUGAAACACCAGUUCCCAUACGAUCUCUGAAGUUAAGCAAUGCCAAGCCUGGCCACUACCUAGAUGCUUGGGAAUACCAGGUGCUGUAAG
Acanthosepion pharaonis is the source of this 91-nucleotide non-coding RNA. The record is from the annotation of a GenBank genome assembly. NCBI's taxonomy places the organism in Eukaryota, Metazoa, Mollusca, Cephalopoda, Sepiida, Sepiidae.